RNAcentral lists this transfer RNA (65 nucleotides) under Rhodobothrium cf. paucitesticulare DJM-2021. RNAcentral describes it as "tRNA-Glu". The record is from RNAcentral. Lineage: Eukaryota; Metazoa; Platyhelminthes; Cestoda; Rhinebothriidea; Rhinebothriidae.
ACUAUUUUAGUAUAUCCAUUAUAUUAGCUUUUCGUGCUAAAGAAGAUAAAUUUUAUCAAGUAGUA